Molecule: ribosomal RNA, 293 nt
Filed under: uncultured microorganism
Description: partial 16S ribosomal RNA
Rfam family: Bacterial small subunit ribosomal RNA
Source: RNAcentral
GUGCCAGCAGCCGCGGUAAUACGUAGGGUGCAAGCGUUAUCCGGAAUUAUUGGGCGUAAAGGGCUCGUAGGCGGUUCGUCGCGUCCGGUGUGAAAGUCCAUCGCUUAACGGUGGAUCCGCGCCGGGUACGGGCGGGCUUGAGUGCGGUAGGGGAGACUGGAAUUCCCGGUGUAACGGUGGAAUGUGUAGAUAUCGGGAAGAACACCAAUGGCGAAGGCAGGUCUCUGGGCCGUUACUGACGCUGAGGAGCGAAAGCGUGNGGGAGCGAACAGGAUUAGAUACCCUGGUAGUCC